UAUCAGAGUGAGAUUAAGCCAUGCGAGUCAACGUAGCAAUACGUGGCACACGGCUCAGUAACACGUAGUCAACAUAACCAAAGGACGUGGAUAAACCCGGGAAACUGAGGCUAAACCGCGAUAGAUCAAGAUAUCUGGAAUGGUUUUUGAUCAAAAUCUAUAUGGCCUUUGGAUUGGACUGCGUCCGAUCAGGCUGUUGGUGAGGUAAUGGCCCACCAAACCUGUAACCGGUACGGGCUCUGAGAGGAGGAGCCCGGAGAUGGGUACUGAGAAAAGGACCCAGGCCCUAUGGGGCGCAGCAGGCGCGAAACCUCUGCAAUAGGCGAAAGCCUGACAGGGUUACUCUGAGUGACUUUCGCUAAGAAAGUCUUUUGACACCUCUAAAAAUGGUGUAGAAUAAGGGGUGGGCAAGUC
RNAcentral lists this ribosomal RNA (414 nucleotides) under uncultured archaeon CR-PA2a. RNAcentral describes it as "bacterial SSU rRNA". It matches the Rfam family "Archaeal small subunit ribosomal RNA", at positions 31 to 452 of the family's 1478-position model. The record is from RNAcentral.